GAUCAUGGCUCAGGAUGAACGCUAGCUACAGGCUUAACACAUGCAAGUCGAGGGGCAGCAUGGUCUUAGCUUGCUAAGACCGAUGGCGACCGGCGCACGGGUGAGUAACGCGUAUCCAACCUGCCUUACACUCUUGGACAGCCUUCUGAAAGGGAGAUUAAUACAAGAUGUUAUCAUGAGUAAGCAUUUUCGCAUGAUUAAAGAUUUAUCGGUGUACGAUGGGGA
RNAcentral lists this ribosomal RNA (225 nucleotides) under uncultured bacterium. Its description in RNAcentral is "partial 16S ribosomal RNA". It matches the Rfam family "Bacterial small subunit ribosomal RNA", at positions 15 to 231 of the family's 1533-position model. The record is from RNAcentral.